Non-coding RNA from Ictidomys tridecemlineatus (thirteen-lined ground squirrel), 2506 nucleotides. NCBI's taxonomy places the organism in Eukaryota, Metazoa, Chordata, Mammalia, Rodentia, Sciuridae. The record is from RefSeq and is a predicted model, not a curated record.
ACCUACACAGGUAGGCUUAAUGUUUGCUAGUAUGGUUAUCUAGCCCUAAGUAAUAGAGUUAAAGAUUUCUCUAUUAGACACAGAGGUCAUACUAAUAAAAGGAUUUUGCAAAAUCAGAUGACAUUAAAUUAUUAAACUGUGUCUUAAGGGAAAGGACAUCUGUAACCCUAAAAGUUAAAUGUCAUGUUUACAGUCCUGGUAACUGGAAAUGUUAAAGCCUGGUGAGGGAACUUAUGUACAGUGACAUGUUCCAGCUGCUACAACACUUAUUCAGUACUCAUGGUUUUUGUUUCCCUCAUGAAAGCACCCAUCCCCAGAUGACAACCUGUUUUUCUCCAGCCAGACUUCAAAUGGAACUGACUUCUAAAAGGGAACUCAUGUCCCCCAUGUCUUCGAGGAGAAGGCAUAUACACCAAGUUAUAGUCAGCUGGAUGCCAAGGCACUGUCGCCCAUACAGGUCCACUAUCAUCAUCUGGAGAUGGAAGACCAUGCUGCCAACAUUUAAAAGGAUGUUCUACCCUUCUCUCAGGCUUAUUUCUUAAGUUUACAUCCCCACAGAUCUCUCUUUCUUAUAUAAAAGUAUAAGUAACAGCUCUGACCAACCAUCUUCUGCCCUUGCCAUAAGGGUUCGCUCCUCCAUGGGCCCCUCCGCUUGGGGGAGGAUGCACCCAUGGAGUGAAGACGUUAGGCCAUAAUAAUGUAGGGUGCAGGAAGGACUGCAGGAGGAUGAAUCCACGGAUCCCAAAACCCAAGACCUCUGAGUGACACGCUCUGGUGAUGGCAGUUGGCAUGCUCCCCCCUCAAAGCUGUCUCCUCCAAAAACAUGCCAAGGCCACCACGCCUUAGAAUAUCUUGGAUCAGGAGAUAUUCUAAGGCCUUCUAGAGGAACAGAGCCUCUAUCCCCCCUAAAAACAUGGCCGGUAAGGUAUGGUCAAAUAUUUUAUAUAAGAAAGGGGGAAAUGUCGGGGACUAGAAGGACAUUCUCCUUCAAAGAUUAGCCUGACAGCCCCCUGGGAGACAUCCUGCCUGGAAGGCAUCCUGCAGCUACCUAUCUCCCUGGAACAUCCUGCAGUUAUCAGGAUCAGCUGGCAGUUUUACCACCCACAUCCAGCAAUUGUUGAUUAUAGAGAGCUUCCCCAUUCCCCAGCAUAUAAAUACCCCUGUGUGAACAAUAAAAGUUUGCAGCUUGAUCAGAACUUUUGUCUUGCUGUCACCUUUCGUGUCUCUUGUCCCUUCAUUCCUCCCCAUCUAGGUUCGCUGCCCACGUUGAUGUGUCCUGCCGGACGGGACAUUACGCCACAGGGCAGACCAUCUGUGAGAUGGACUCAGGCUGAGGCACACCUGGCUCUGUGAAUUUCAGGUUCUGCAGUUUUGACCAUGGGGUUAUGUGCAUUUGUUCAGAGGUAAGUGUUGAUGGGAGACUGUGUACAUUCAUUAGCCGGGUUUUGGGGGAACAUCUGUUUGCUAGAUGCUAGACACCAGUCUCACCCACACGGGACUCUGCUCUGGCCACUUGCCUUGUGCCUUGAGAGGCCUGCACUGCUACCUGCCAGUCCUCCCAGCAGCCCUGUAACAUUCUUCUGCAAGGUUCCAUCCCUCAGCAGUGCCCUGGCCAGGCCUACCUGUCAACCUCAAGCAGGGCAUGGCCACAGAGCUGGCCAGGCUGGGUCCUCCACAGCUAUGGGACUGGACUCAGCCCCAGGACCAGCCUAGGAGUGGGAAUGAGUCUCCUUUGGGUGUUCUAGAAACUACAGAGGGAGCCAGCAGUGGAAGUUGGAGGGGGAGAGGGGGAGAAUGUGAACAAAGAGCAAGUGAGGGGUAUGGGGGCUGGAGCUGGGCACUAGGAUAGACAACACCCAGUGUGGGCACUGAUUUGAGGGCACUAAGACAGGAGAAGCUCCCUGCUCCACCCUGCUCGUCAGGCGAGGGAGGGCAGGCUUUCAUUUGUUGAGAGCUCCUUUUCUGCCCUGAGUCCUGCAGGAUGCUCCUCACAUCUGAUGUCAUGGAACACCUGUCUCAAGACAGGCAGCAGGACCAGACAUGCUGAAGCAGGACAAGCAUGGCACUGAGGACUUGCUUCCUCCACAGGCAGGGAAGAAGUGGUGGCAGUGAAAGGUUAAUAAAAAUGUGCCAUCCUCCAGAUGCACAGGAAGCGUUUCAAAGGCAUCCAGGCCACAGAUGUCCCCUACCCUCCACGAUGAUGGCCUCUUCAGUCCUACAGAGUGGAGAGGAGCCUUGGGCCAAUCCAGCCCUGGUCAGAGGUGGAGUGGCUGCAUCUGCCAAGUGUAUUCCUGGUCAGCUUGGGCAGUGGCAUAUACAAGGCUUUGCUGGCCUCUGUCUCCCUGCUCAGACCUCAGAGAAGCCCAUGUGGCUUGGGGGCAAAGGUCUCAGGUGCUCCUCCAUGCAGGCCAUUGGUUCCUCCUGCUCUGAUUGUCUCCGUCUUCCCCAAGUCUUCCACAGCAAUGUAUGUUUUUGUAACAUAAUAAAAAUAAAUUAAUUAAUUGAA